This 1712-nucleotide long non-coding RNA is filed under the name Medicago truncatula (barrel medic). RNAcentral's name for it is "lncRNA gene7988". The record is from RNAcentral. Lineage: Eukaryota; Viridiplantae; Streptophyta; Magnoliopsida; Fabales; Fabaceae.
CCCAGCUCCAAAUGCUAGAAAGUUUCUUUUAAAUAUUUGAUCCUCUUGUCUUUCUUCUGAAAACCGGUCUGGGUCGAACCGGUCCGGUUCAGUAAAACCCUGAAAAGAUGACUCGAAUGCUGACGGAAAAACUAUUGCACCUUUGGGAAUCGUGUAAGAUUCCGUCAACGGAAACGGCUCUGCCGCAACAUGCGGCACCAAAGUCGCUGGUGGUCGGUAACGAAUAACCUCACGCGCCACCGCUUGCGUGUACUUCAUCUCCCUUAACUGCUCCGAUGUUAUCAGUGUAUUCGACUCCGGCGACCAGAUUCCGGCGACUUCUUCUCUCACUCUGGCGAGAACCUCUGGAUGCGAAUCCAGCAAUGUCACCGCCCAAAGAAGCGACGAAGUCGACGCGUCUUGUGCUGCGAAGAGGAAAUCGAAGAGAUAACCACCGAUUUCAGCGUUGGUGGAGAACGGUGGCACUGUUACUCCGUUCAGCUUCGAUUCUUCAAUCUCUCUUAAAGUAUCCUGCAUCCAGAAAUCAAUGAGACACGAAGGCUCUUCACCUUUCUCCAUCUUCUCCUUACUUGCCGCCGUGCAACCCCCUAGGGUUCCGGCGAGUCGGUCAACGGCGAGUCUCGCGUUACGGAACGCAGUUCCCGGAAAGUCAAACGGAAGCUUCAUGAGACCAACAUUGAAGAGAAAGUAAUCAUGUUCAAAUCUCUCUCGGGCUUUGAGGCCCAAAUAAGGGCCCACAAAAACUGUCUGAGACGUUUCCAAAUUCAUAUCACGAGUAAGUACACGGAUUGGAAAAGACUCAUGGGCUUGAGCAUGGGAUUUGUGAAGCCAUGAUUUAAGAUGUUUGAGGAUAAUAAUCUGCUGUAGCUCGGUGUAUGUAGAAAGAGCCUUAGGAGUGAAAUUGGGCGCGAUUCGACGGCGGAGAUUCUUGUGUUCUUGGCCCAUCAUGUAGAUAAGAUUGUGUUCACCAAAGAGUUUCUUACCAAAAGGAUGGCCCACAAGAUGGAAAGCGUUGGGCUUUACAUUGGAGAAGACUUUAUGAGAGAGUUCAGUGUCUCUAAUGAAGACUAUAAAGAGUCCAAUGAUGUAGUUAGCUGAAAAACCUGCUGAUUUGGAUAAGGUGGAUUGAACUUCCCAAAAUUUGGUUGGGUCACGAACUAAUGAGAUAGCGUUUCCUAUGAAGGGGAGAACCAAAGAUGGGCCUGGGAUUGAACGUUUUUUGUUGAGGUAUGAGAUCUGUUCAAUGAGGAGAAGGAAAAGGAUGAAGCAUAUUAGGUAUGGGAUUAAUUGGUUGAAAGAGAAAGAGGAUAAUAAUAGAGGAGCAUUCAUGUUUGGUUUUUUGAUAAGGAGAGUGAAGGGAUUGUUGAACUUAAAAACUAAACAAAACAAGUGUUGUGUUGUUGUGAUAUGUAAUGCGAGGAUAGAAUAAAAUAGGUGGGAAAACUUUAAGGUCAAAAUUGAUGACUGUGUGUGGGUGUAGAACUUGAACUUGAUUAUUGACAAGUCAAAUAUGAGUUUUCAGAGGUGGUAGAGGCAGAACUUUAGAUGUUGUAGUAGCCAAGCUAAUCGAGAAGACGGUGAGGAUUGGGGAGAAGAAGAGGUGGUGGUGGCCUGAUGGGGUUAAAAUCCAGCUAGGUCAAGGCAGGCCAUUAAGUACAACACAUCGUAACCGACAAUAAUAUAGGACGUUUUCUUUUGGUAAAUUUUUUAAG